CAGGUUGAAGGUUGGGUAACACUAACUGGAGGACCGAACCGACUAAUGUUGAAAAAUUAGCGGAUGACUUGUGGCUGGGGGUGAAAGGCCAAUCAAACCGGGAGAUAGCUGGUUCUCCCCGAAAGCUAUUUAGGUAGCGCCUCGUGAAUUCAUCUCCGGGGGUAGAGCACUGUUUCGGCAAGGGGGUCAUCCCGACUUACCAACCCGAUGCAAACUGCGAAUACCGGAGAAUGUUAUCACGGGAGACACACGGCGGGUGCUAACGUCCGUCGUGAAGAGGGAAACAACCCAGACCGCCAGCUAAGGUCCCAAAGUCAUGGUUAAGUGGGAAACGAUGUGGGAAGGCCCAGACAGCCAGGAUGUUGGCUUAGAAGCAGCCAUCAUUUAAAGAAAGCGUAAUAGCUCACUGGUCGAGUCGGCCUGCGCGGAAGAUGUAACGGGGCUAAACCAUGCACCGAAGCUGCGGCAGCGACGCUUAUGCGUUGUUGGGUAGGGGAGCGUUCUGUAAGCCUGCGAAGGUGUGCUGUGAGGCAUGCUGGAGGUAUCAGAAGUGCGAAUGCUGACAUAAGUAACGAUAAAGCGGGUGAAAAGCCCGCUCGCCGGAAGACCAAGGGUUCCUGUCCAACGUUAAUCGGGGCAGGGUGAGUCGACCCCUAAGGCGAGGCCGAAAGGCGUAGUCGAUGGGAAACAGGUUAAUAUUCCUGUACUUGGUGUUACUGCGAAGGGGGGACGGAGAAGGCUAUGUUGGCCGGGCGACGGUUGUCCCGGUUUAAGCGUGUAGGCUGGUUUUCCAGGCAAAUCCGGAAAAUCAAGGCUGAGGCGUGAUGACGAGGCACUACGGUGCUGAAGCAACAAAUGCCCUGCUUCCAGGAAAAGCCUCUAAGCAUCAGGUAACAUCAAAUCGUACCCCAAACCGACACAGGUGGUCAGGUAGAGAAUACCAAGGCGCUUGAGAGAACUCGGGUGAAGGAACUAGGCAAAAUGGUGCCGUAACUUCGGGAGAAGGCACGCUGAUAUGUAGGUGAAGUCCCUCGCGGAUGGAGCUGAAAUCAGUCGAAGAUACCAGCUGGCUGCAACUGUUUAUUAAAAACACAGCACUGUGCAAACACGAAAGUGGACGUAUACGGUGUGACGCCUGCCCGGUGC
RNAcentral lists this ribosomal RNA (1146 nucleotides) under Escherichia coli. Its description in RNAcentral is "partial 23S ribosomal RNA". It matches the Rfam family "Bacterial large subunit ribosomal RNA", at positions 741 to 1869 of the family's 2925-position model. The record is from RNAcentral. Lineage: Bacteria; Pseudomonadati; Pseudomonadota; Gammaproteobacteria; Enterobacterales; Enterobacteriaceae.